GCCCCUGUGAGGAUGCCCUACAGUUCCCUGCUUGGGAACAAGGAGCUGGUAUCAGGCACGAAUUCCAUUCGGCCCAUAACACCUUGCUUAGCCACACCCCCAAGGGACUUCAGCAGUAAUAAACAUUAAGCCAUGAGUGAAAACUCGACUUAGUCAAGGCUAAGAGGGCCGGUAAAUUUCGUGCCAGCCACCGCGGUUAUACGAAAGACCCGAGUUGAUAGACGACGGCGUAAAGAGUGGUUAAGACAAACUUAUACAAGUAAAGCCGAACCCCCUCAGGACUGUUAUACGUGUCCGAAAGGGAGAAGUUCAACCACGAAGGUAGCUUUAUAAUACCUGAACCCACGAAAGCUACGAAACAAACUGGGAUUAGAUACCCCACUAUGCGUAGCCCUAAACAUUGAUAUUAGGACACAUAUAUUAUCCGCCUGGUUAUUAUGAGCAUUAGCUUCAAACCCAAAGGACCUGGCGGUGCUUUAGUUCCACCUAGAGGAGCCUGUUCUGUAACCGAUACCCCCCGUUUUACCUUACCCUUCCUUGUCCUUUCAGUUUAUAUACCGCCGUCGUCAGCUUACCCUGUGAAGGACUAGUAGUGAGCGAAAUAGGCAGAGCCCAGAACGUCAGGUCAAGGUGUAGCAUAUGGAAGGGACGGAUAUGGGCUACAUUCCCUGAGAACAGAGAAUACGAAUGAUACACUGAAAUGUGUACCUGAAGGAGGAUUUAGCAGUAAGCAGAAAAUAGAGUGUUCCGCUGAAAUCGGCUCUGAAGUGCGCACACACCGCCCGUCACUCUCCUCUAUAACACUUUUAGGCCUUACUUAACUAAAACCACACUACCGUUAAGGGGAGGCAAGUCGUAACAUGGUAAGUGUACCGGAAGGUGUGCUUGGAGAAAAA
RNAcentral lists this non-coding RNA (896 nucleotides) under Doederleinia berycoides (blackthroat seaperch). RNAcentral describes it as "partial 12S rRNA". It matches the Rfam family "Bacterial small subunit ribosomal RNA", at positions 307 to 1533 of the family's 1533-position model. Lineage: Eukaryota; Metazoa; Chordata; Actinopteri; Acropomatiformes; Acropomatidae. The record is from RNAcentral.